RNAcentral lists this ribosomal RNA (440 nucleotides) under uncultured bacterium. RNAcentral's name for it is "partial 16S ribosomal RNA". It matches the Rfam family "Bacterial small subunit ribosomal RNA", at positions 338 to 795 of the family's 1533-position model. The record is from RNAcentral.
CCUACGGGAGGCUGCAGUGGGGGAUAUUGCACAAUGGGGGAAACCCUGAUGCAGCGACGCCGCGUGGGUGAAGAAGCGCCUCGGCGCGUAAAGCCCUGUCAGCAGGGAAGAAAAUGACGGUACCUGAAGAAGAAGCCCCGGCUAACUACGUGCCAGCAGCCGCGGUAAUACGUAGGGGGCAAGCGUUAUCCGGAUUUACUGGGUGUAAAGGGGGCGCAGACGGCGAUGCAAGCCAGGAGUGAAAGCCCGGGGCCCAACCCCGGGACUGCUCUUGGAACUGCGUGGCUAGAGUGCAGGAGGGGCAGGCGGAAUUCCGGGUGUAGGCGUGAAAUGCGUAGAUAUCAGGAGGAACACCGGUGGCGAAGGCGGCCUGCUGGACUGCAACUGACGUUGAGGCCCGAAAGCGUGGGGAGCAAACAGGAUUAGAUACCCUAGUAGUC